UACACACCGCCCGUCACGCCAUGGAAGUCGGUAGCGCCCGAAGUCCGUGACCCAACCGCAAGGAGGGAGCGGCCGAAGGCAAAGAUCGAUGACUGGGGCG
Molecule: ribosomal RNA, 100 nt
Filed under: uncultured bacterium
Lineage: Bacteria
Description: partial 16S ribosomal RNA
Rfam family: Bacterial small subunit ribosomal RNA
Source: RNAcentral